This is a long non-coding RNA of Melozone crissalis (California towhee), 848 nucleotides long. RefSeq lists it as uncharacterized. NCBI's taxonomy places the organism in Eukaryota, Metazoa, Chordata, Aves, Passeriformes, Passerellidae. The transcript is spliced from 4 exons. The record is from RefSeq and is a predicted model, not a curated record.
GGGGAGGGGACACGGCGAGGCCCGGCGCCCCCGGAGGCGGCCGCUCCGCGCUGCCGUACCUGCGCUGGAAGUCGGUCCGGAAGGGCUCCAGCGUGUCGGAUGCCCGGGUGAACUCUGCGUUCCCACACACACAAAGCCCACUGCGCGCCCCGGCCAACAGCAACACCCCCCCAAAGCAGAUUUGGCAUCAUCAAAAGCCUUACUUUUGUGAUGUUCUGGUCACCUUUCCAGUUCCUUCUAAGUCCUGAGCUUGGCAGUCUUCCUGACGCAGACAGAGAUGGGACUUUGUAAGUCAUCAGCCCUUGAGACCUACACAAGAAAAACAGUGAUGUUUAGGUUGAGGGAUUCUAAUUCCUCAGCUUUGGCUGCACACAGUGAAAAUACUGAAUUACUCUUUAAAUUAAUGAAUUAUCUGUUGCUUCUUGACCUAAGCACUCCUGCAGCUGUCUCCCCAGCAACUCCUGUGGUGCCAUCUGAUUCAACACGUGCACAAGGAACAUUGCAAAGGGAGCUGAGUCAUUCUCUAAAUCUGGAACAUCAUCCUCAGAACACAAAACCUUCCCCUGCAGGACUAAUGGGCAAGUAUUAACUGUGUCAUUCUGCAUAGGAUGUUUUAGCUUCUCUUACUUUAAAUUACUAGUGUGUCUUACUGAAAAGCACAUAAUUUAGCUGUAUCCACCAAAAUUUUCUUUGUGACAUUUGUGUUGCAAAGUGCCAAAUACUUAUGUUCUUACUUCUGUGUUCCAUUUCCUUUUCUUGUAAUUAAUUGUCAUUUCAGAAUAAACUCAUCUUCACUGAUUGUUUUUAGUACAUACAUGUAAUUUCUGUGAACUGUGACUACUUUGCUG